CCGGAAACAUAUAAACUUGUAGACAACAGUGGUGAACCUCUCAAAUGUCCUUGGAAUGAUGAACACUCGAGAAACUAUUAUCAAUAAAGUAGCUUGGCUUAAGUAAACCUUAGUUCGAUCAUCGAUGAAGUUAUAUACUUGACCCGAUUAAUAAAUUAAUCUCUGCAGCAAUGAUAUGGCAGUGUCUUCAGUUGGGCGAGCUUAUCAACUAGAGCAAAAUACACUUCAUACAAACAAAAGACAAACUUUACAAAGAAAUCCUAAAAUUCUCAGUAUUACCAAAAAAUAAAAAUAAAAAUAAAAAAUCUAUAAGUGCAAGAUGGACUUUGCUAAGUCAGCCAAAGGAUUACAUUCUUAAACGAAUUAAUCUAGUAAAUUUUUGUGAAAAAUAAAUCUAAAGAUCACAUGACUUCUCGCUUUUGAGUUCGCAUAAUUGCAAGCUUCCUGAAGUUGAAUAAAUAGUAGACCAAAAGCGUUUUAGCGGAAUCAUAAUUGGCAAAAUGUAGAAAGCGUAAAAACAUGGCAUUGCCGAUUUAUUAGUUAUCUGUUGAUAAUGUUGCAAAGCGGAACCACUCCAUUCCUAAGUUCAUGGAAUUGCACGUCUCUCAGACGGAGGAACAGUCAAAGACAUACUGAAAACGUACAAUGAAGUUGUCGUCAGGGACGGACGCAGACACUUUGGGUUAGAAGGUCACAAUUAAAUUUUCAAACAGUGAGUAAAUCGUAAAUGAUAAUGACGGUCCGUAGUCGACAGAUUGGAAAGGAGAGACAAAGGCACAAAAUUGAGUUUGGAACUGUCAGUUGCAUAAUAUAUUUACUGUGUAGGUUUUAAAAUUUGACAUUCUCUUUUAAAAAAUGCAAAAAUUAGGGGGGUCAAUUGACCCUAUUGGACCCCCCAGGUCCGCACCUAGUUGUUGUUGAUGUUUGUAAAAUAUUUCCAUUCCUAAGAAAGGUCCUAAUGCUUAUCUUGGAAAAACAUCUUGAGGUAUGAUUUUGUCAAAUGAUUUAUAAUCUUAAGAAUUUUAGGAGAGAAAUGCAAGUACAACUCUAUGUUUAGGAAAGAAACAAUAAGUAAUGACAAUAUCAUGGUAUAUAUAAUAUUAAGAAAUAUAUCGUGGGUAUUGUAUCAUAACAUGUUCAAUCUUAAUCUUAAAAAAUAAGGUGAUCUUAACCAUUGAAUAUGAAAGGGCACAUUCAAACAAACGAUCAAGAUCAAGACAUAUUUAUGAAAAUGAUCCAGAUCGAGUGUAUGCUUCAUGCGUAUAUAGAUGCAUGGACAUCAAAAAACGUAUUAAAAACGGAAGUUAUGAAGGAAUCAUUGCAUCUAAUUAACUAUCAUUAAUGCACAGGAAGUUGCAGUAUAUAGUAUUUAGCUUGUUCAUAAGUUCGCCACUUAAAAUAAAUAGUUAAAUUCGAACUUCGGAGACUAUUAUGGAUAAUUAUCUAAUUUUGUUUUCCAAAAAAAA
Molecule: long non-coding RNA, 1466 nt
Filed under: Olea europaea subsp. europaea
Lineage: Eukaryota; Viridiplantae; Streptophyta; Magnoliopsida; Lamiales; Oleaceae
Source: RNAcentral